UACGUAGGAUGCAAGCGUUGUCCGGAGUUACUGGGCGUAAAGGGCGCGCAGGCGGUAUACCAAGUCUGAUGUGAAAUAUCCCGGCUUAACCGGGAAGGGUCAUUGGAAACUGGUAAACUAGAGUGCAGGAGAGGUUAGCGGAAUUCCCGGUGUAGUGGUGAAAUGCGUAGAGAUCGGGAGGAACACCAGUGGCGAAGGCGGCUAACUGGCCUGCAACUGACGCUAAAGCGCGAAGGCUAGGGGAG
RNAcentral lists this ribosomal RNA (245 nucleotides) under uncultured bacterium. RNAcentral describes it as "partial 16S ribosomal RNA". It matches the Rfam family "Bacterial small subunit ribosomal RNA", at positions 524 to 768 of the family's 1533-position model. The record is from RNAcentral.